AUGGCUUCCAGCCCGGCGCUCAUCGAGCUAUGCUCCCCUACGACCAUGCAGCGCCCUCUCCCCUCUAUCUCGCCAGCGCGUCCUCCGGGCUUCGAAGCUUCUCCAACUCCAGCGAUCCCUUGUAGUGGAACAUUGCAGCGCACCCCCACGUCGCCUCGGGCUCACCAGCGCACUUCGGACGACUCGCUACCGGCAGGCCUGGCGGCGCUUGCCGCGCCGUGCCCUGCGGUGGAGCUCCCGGAGUUGCUCUUCUGCAUGCGCCAACCGGCGCUGUUGGCGCCUUCUCAGGCGCAGCCCCAGCUGCACACCUCGCCGAUGUCGACCCCUCCUAGAAGGCCAGCAGCGCGCCGGAAGACGCUGGCGGGCAUCAAGAUUUCCUCUGCUGGUGGCCUCUCGCUGCAACGGGUGCGGCACACUGCUGUGCGUCCGGCGGCUGUACGGGCGGCGAAGACGACCGAAAGGCUGAUUUGUUGUAGCAUGGGCAUCACCAGGGACGGUGAAGACGUCACCGAGAGCACUCUUCAAGCAUUCAUAAACAAGUUCAAAGAGCACUUUCUUGAUGAUGUAAUUGUUGCCAUGAGGGAGUUCUUUGAGCUUGACAACACAACCGUCAACGUCGUCGAGGACGCACUGAUUGGCCAUGGAGGAGACGGAUUGCUGGACACAGCCACUAGACCACAAGAUGAUGGAGCGCAGGCGGCGCUCACCCGAGAAUGGCUGCUACUAGUUUGUUGUUUAGGGAAUUUAGGUGUGCCAUGUUAG
This 762-nucleotide ribosomal RNA is filed under the name Triticum aestivum (bread wheat). RNAcentral's name for it is "partial small subunit ribosomal RNA". Lineage: Eukaryota; Viridiplantae; Streptophyta; Magnoliopsida; Poales; Poaceae. The record is from RNAcentral.